This 691-nucleotide ribosomal RNA is filed under the name uncultured bacterium. RNAcentral describes it as "bacterial SSU rRNA". It matches the Rfam family "Bacterial small subunit ribosomal RNA", at positions 124 to 810 of the family's 1533-position model. The record is from RNAcentral.
ACGUAUCCAAUAAUGGGGGAUAACUAAUCGAAAGGUUGGCUAAUACCGCAUACGCCCUACGGGGGAAAGCUAGGGACCUUCGGGCCUGGCGUUAAUGGAGCGGCCGAUAUCUGAUUAGCUAGUUGGUGGGGUAAAGGCCCACCAAGGCGACGAUCAGUAGCUGGUCUGAGAGGACGACCAGCCACACUGGAACUGAGACACGGUCCAGACUCCUACGGGAGGCAGCAGUGGGGAAUUUUGGACAAUGGGCGCAAGCCUGAUCCAGCCAUUCCGCGUGAGUGAAGAAGGCCUUCGGGUUGUAAAGCUCUUUCGCAAGGGAAGAAAACUUAGGCUCUAACAUAGCCUGAGGUUGACGGUACCUUGAUAAGAAGCACCGGCUAACUACGUGCCAGCAGCCGCGGUAAUACGUAGGGUGCGAGCGUUAAUCGGAAUUACUGGGCGUAAAGCGUGCGCAGGCGGUUUUGUAAGUCAGAUGUGAAAUCCCCGAGCUCAACUUGGGAACUGCGUUUGAAACUACAAGACUAGAAUAUGUCAGAGGGGGGUAGAAUUCCACGUGUAGCAGUGAAAUGCGUAGAGAUGUGGAGGAAUACCAAUGGCGAAGGCAGCCCCCUGGGAUAAUAUUGACGCUCAUGCACGAAAGCGUGGGGAGCAAACAGGAUUAGAUACCCUGGUAGUCCACGCCCUAAACGAU